This 459-nucleotide ribosomal RNA is filed under the name uncultured bacterium. Its description in RNAcentral is "SSU rRNA". It matches the Rfam family "Bacterial small subunit ribosomal RNA", at positions 26 to 518 of the family's 1533-position model. The record is from RNAcentral.
AGAAUCAACGCUGGCGGCGUGCCUAACACAUGCAAGUCGAACGAGAAAGUGGAGCAAUCCAUGAGUAAAGUGGCGCACGGGUGAGUAACACGUGACUAACCUACCCUUGAGUGGAGGAUAACCUAGAGAAAUCUGGGCUAAUACCGCAUAAUACCUUCGGGUCAAAGGAGCAAUUCGCUUAAGGAGGGGGUCGCGGCCGAUUAGUUAGUUGGCGGGGUAAUGGCCCACCAAGACUAUGAUCGGUAUCCGGCCUGAGAGGGCGCACGGACACACUGGAACUGAAACACGGUCCAGACUCCUACGGGAGGCAGCAGUGGGGAAUUUGCGCAAUGGGGGAAACCCUGACGCAGCAACGCCGCGUGGAGGAUGAAGUCCCUUGGGACGUAAACUCCUUUCGAUCGGGACGAUAAUGACGGUACCGAGAGAAGAAGCCCCGGCUAACUUCGUGCCAGCAGCCGC